UCCAAUCUUCUUCCUCUUCUUUCCUUGGAAGAAGUCAGAACUCAGAAGUCAAAACCAUUGUCAAAGAUGUACUGUACUUUUCUUGUAUUAAAGCAUUUUCAAGGUAAACAAAAUAUAUUUAUUUAUUUAAUUAAUUAAUUCUUUUUAAUUGUAGAAAUGUCAAGAUGUGAUUGUUUACUUAUUAAUGCCAUGGAAUUAUUCCUAUAUGCACUUUUCAUCAAACAAUCACCUUACCAUAAUAUGAUUUUACUGUUAAAACUUGAUUCACUUGGUUGUGUAUUGUUCAAUGGCUUCAUUAAUCUUAAGUCAUUGUUGACCAUGCUAUUGUAGUAUUGUUUUGUAUUUUUGUAUAGUGCGCAAUUGCCGCAGAUCAUUUUCCCAUUUCCCUCACAAAGAUCUUAGAUCAAUGCGCCUAGCAAUCACUUCUGAAGAGACACAGAAUAGUGCUAGAUACCAUUUUCACAAUUUUAUUGGAAAUUUCUGUUAAUAAGUCGAACUACAGAUUCACAAAAGCUAACUAAAAAGUACAAUCUAUUUGCUUUUGAAAAAUGAAUCUCAAACAAAUCGACAUCAGAUUAUAAUGUAAAUCGACCAAAAUAUUGGCAGACCACAAAUACAAAGGUAUACAAAUCACUCUCUGGAUAUUCUUAUUCUGACAACCCCACGACAUAUCCUUCUGUAUUAUAUUCCUCAAAAAAAAAAAAAAAAAAUCUCCCUUUCACACACGCGCGCAAUACAGAAUCAUCCAAAACGGGUAUAUAGAUAUAAAAUGUAAAUUAUGUAGAAAGUCUUUAUGGGAAAUCUGUUGUACAACACAUACACAUGCUGAAUAGUAAAGGCUUGUGCUUGCCUUUGGCUCCCCCUUGAAGAGAGGUAGCCGUGGUUUUGCCUUUGUGAGAGUUCCAUUUUUCUUCAUUUGCCUUCUUUGCAACUAGUCUCUCUUGUUUGUGUUGUGAGCCCAUAAGAGAACUUUCUUCCUUAAAGAAACUAAGAAGUGGAACGUUCAACUUCUCUGAAUUAGUUUUUUCCAAUGUGAUGACUUCCUUGUCUUCUGAUAUUUGAUCUUGUGAUUGAUUUUCACUGGAAUUAUCUUCUGCGCAUGGGUUUCCAAUGCUAUCAUCAACCUUGUUUGCGGAUAUUUCUGAACCAGAGCAAUUUGGUCUAAGGACCUCUCUACUGAUAGCCUUCUCUUCGUACUGUUGUGGGGUUUGCUUAUAUUCUUCAUCUGUUCCAUCUCUGGAAACGACAUGUAUGUUCAAGUUUACUGAAUAUGGCUCAGUAGUUAACCACCCAACACCAUGUUUAUCUUCAGUUCCAGGAUUUGCAAAUGCAGCAUUACCAUCUUUCUUAUUCUUUUCUUCUUGCAUCUUGGUGACAACGGUUUCUGCAAUUUGGCUAUCAAAAUUAAAGCUGGAUUUUGUCUCAGCUCCAACCAUGGGGCUAAGCAUUUCUUGUUCAUAUGCAGUGUUGUAACUCUCAUUGCUGUCAGGUGAUCCAAAACCCAUGUUUGAAUCAGUACCACAUUUAGACUCAGUUGGAUUGCAUAUUUGUUCUUGUCCCUGCAAACAUACUAUGAAGUUGGCAUCUUGAGAGUGAGUAUUGACUGAAGGAAAAUGAUAUAUCGGAACUGUUUUGAUAGGAUCUAACUGGGCUAGAAUUGGUUCUCCCAUCUUUGUUUCUUCUGCAUUCUUUACUGAGUAAUCCUGAAGCUCUCCUUUCUCUUCAACAGUCUCCAGUACAAAUGAAGUACCCAUAGUUGAGGAACAUAUGGGAAGCUUCUCUCCUCCGGAGUUGGUAACCACCACUGUGAAGUCAGUUGGAGAAGAUGACACUUCAUGGAGAAUCUCACUUUCUUUCUCCAAACUUGUUCUGUUUUCCUCACAAACGGACCAUAUGUUUCUAUCAAGGAAGGCAACUUGGUGUUCAUUGUCAGUCACCUUUUCCUUGCUACUUCGAGCAUCCAUUUUGUUCCCAUCCUUGUUUAAACCAUCAAGUUCGAUCCCCUUCUUCUCAUCUUCACGUUCCACACCUAUCGUCAUACGUUCAGAGUUAGGCGUUUUCAUCUCGUCCACCGUUGGCUCUUCCUCUGACUCAGGAAAUGAACCUGACUUGAAAUUGUGUUUUUCCUGUUCAGCUUCAGAUUCUUUCUCAAUCAGAUUUGCGUCUUCUGCUAAAACUACAAAUUCGUCUUUGGUGAAAGUUUGUACUCCAAAUGAUUCUACUGAUUUAGUCACCGGAAGAAGUUCCGGUGAUGAUUCUGUGGAGUCUUUUCUAUCAAAUUUAAGUUCGAGGGGCCUUUCUUCAAUUUGUUCUCUCUCAACAUUACUGGGGACCUGUUUUAUUGUUAUCCCAACAUCAACUUCAACUUCAGUUUCAAGUUUAAUUUCGUUGAUGUUUCUCAUAUCUGGUAAUGUAGCUUCUUGAAAUUCUAUUACUUUUUCGUGCAUAUCAUCCCCAUACUUUUCUGCAUUGCUGAUAGGAACAGCACUUCCAUCUGGAAACUGAUUAGCUUCACUCUCUAACUUCUUUCCAUUCUCUUCAGAAUCAUGAGGUCCAGUCAUUCCCAGAAUAUCCUCGUCGCUUUGCUGCAGUACACCUGUAUCUUCCACACGUGGGUUCACAUCAAAGUUGCCAGGCGUCUGUUGAUUGGCAUUGAUAUCCAAGGAUACCACAGAUUCUGGAUCCAGCGGACUCAUUGUUAUGCCCAGAGGUGAAUCUGUUGAUCCUCCUAUCUCUGUUGCAAUUCUUAACUAGUCAUUUUAGG
This 2764-nucleotide long non-coding RNA is filed under the name Aquilegia coerulea. RNAcentral's name for it is "long non-coding RNA (ACOE_LNC001828)". The record is from RNAcentral. Lineage: Eukaryota; Viridiplantae; Streptophyta; Magnoliopsida; Ranunculales; Ranunculaceae.